AACACAUGCCAAAGUCGAACGGCAGCACAGAAGAGCUUGCUCUUUGGGUGGCGAGUGGCCGGGACGGGUGAGUAAUGUCUGGGAAACCUUGCCCGAUGGAGGGGGAUAACUACUGGAAACGGUAGCUAAUACCGCAUUAAACGUCGCAAGACCAAAGUGGGGGACCCUUCGGGCCUCACACCAUCGGAUGUGCCCAGAUGGGAUUAGCUAGUAGGGGUGGGGUAAUGGCUCACCUAGGCGACCGGAUCCCUAGCUGGUCUGAGAGGAUGACCAGCCACACUGGAACUGAGACCAACGGUCCAGACUCCUACGGGAGGCAGGCCAGUGGGGAAUAUUGCACAAUGGGCGCAAGCCUGAUGCAGCCAUGCCGGCCGUGUAUGAAGAAGGCCUUCGGGUUGGUUAAAGUACUUUCAGCGGGGAGGAAGGCGGUGAGGUUAAUAACCUUGCCCGGAUUGACGUUACCCGCAGAAGAAGCAACCCGGCUAACUCCGUGCCAGCAGCCGCGGUAAUACGGAGGGUGCAAGCGGUUUAAUCGGAAUUACUGGGCGUAAAGCCGGCACGCAGGCGGUCUGUUAAGUCAGAUGUGAAAUCCCCGGGCUUAACCCUUGGGAACUGCAUUUGAAACUGGCAGGGCCUUGAGUCUCGUAGAGGGGGGUAGAAUUCCAGGUGUAGCGGUGAAAUGGCCGUAGAGAUCUGGAGGAAUACCGGUGGGGCGAAGGCGGCCCCCUGGACGAAGACUGAC
RNAcentral lists this ribosomal RNA (742 nucleotides) under Pantoea dispersa. Its description in RNAcentral is "bacterial SSU rRNA". It matches the Rfam family "Bacterial small subunit ribosomal RNA", at positions 50 to 744 of the family's 1533-position model. Lineage: Bacteria; Pseudomonadati; Pseudomonadota; Gammaproteobacteria; Enterobacterales; Erwiniaceae. The record is from RNAcentral.